Molecule: long non-coding RNA, 1939 nt
Filed under: Pelobates cultripes (western spadefoot toad)
Lineage: Eukaryota; Metazoa; Chordata; Amphibia; Anura; Pelobatidae
Source: RNAcentral
AGCAAUUGAAAACUCCAAGAACAACCAGUACAGUGAAAAUGAUCCCAAAUCACUGAAGUCUGUUCCACCUUCCCAAUGUCCUUCACCAACUUCAUUAAAUCUUUGCAAUGUCCCUGAGGAGAGUGACGAAAGCCAGGACUAUCCAAUCAGAUUGCUACAAAAAAAGAAAUUGACAGAAACUCCUUGCGAAUGCAGUCAGUCGGAGGUCACAUUCCUAGGAACACCCAGAAUGCAAGAGUCACUGAGGACUUCUGGGAAAUGUAUCUCCUCACUGAUACAAUCUGAUCCAUCACAUUCUGAGUACAUGCUGCUUCCCGAGUCCAUUUCACACAAACCUGUUGAGUGUAGCUGCUCAACGGAGACAGACAGCUUGACGUCCUGCGAAAACUGCAUAGCAAGUGGAUAUGGACACAGCAAUAUCAUCGAAAGUUAAAUAGGUCCUAGAUCUUUUUGGGGUACUGCUGCUUAGGAGAGCAGCAUAGUCCAUAGCAGCAGGGUUAUGGUACUUAAUGUCCAAGUUCAUCCUGCUGGCUACAUUGAAAGUAAUGGUAUUGAAGUAACAACUGCCCAAUAUAUUAGACUCCAGACACAGUUUGUUACUCUAGUUACCUUUCACGUUUUGUUUAUUAGUGCAUAAUUAUGAAAUCAAACAAAAUAAGCUACAUUUAUAAUAAUGCACACUUCAUCUUUCUUAUAUUUUAAUAACACCAUCCUGUUUUUAGGCGGGUUUAAACUGUAUAUAUAAAUUGCAUUAAAUGUUGCCCAUUUUAUUUAACUGUUUUUAUGCUGGAGGAGCCAAACCUUUCAUUAUGUUGUUUAUUCAUAAAACCAUGCGUUGACAACAAAAAAAUCAAACUCGGAAAUAAUAAAAUGGGGAAAAGAUUUCUCCAAUUCAAGAGUGUUUGUUUUUAUUCCCCACGCUAUUAUUUUUGGCUCUUUUAGAUACAAUGCUUUAAUCAAUUAGUAUCAUUAUAAUAAUUUAUGUAUAAAGCGCCAGCGCAUUCCGCAGCACUGUACAUGGGUACUAUUGAUAAAGUAAACGUACAAUACAUCAGAGACAAUGCAAAAUUUGACAGACAAAUAUAGGAAGAGUUGAGGGCCCUAUAGAUAGAUGUACAGCUUCCACUUGCACAAUUAUAUUCGAGGAAAUGUGACAUUUGCUAGAAAUUUGUAUAGAUUAAAUUUUAUGCUCUUUAAAGUGGUGCCAUACGCAUUCUUGUACACACGUGAAAAAACUUUACAAUAGUGGAUGUUUAUUUUUGUAUACUUCGGCAGUACACAUUUCUUUAGUACAUGAUGAUAUCAGGUAUCAGGCCGUUUCCAGACGUAUGAAUGACUUGAAUUUGAAUUCUGAAUCAAUAUUUCACGACUGCUCCCCUGGGAGCUGACUCUAUAUUGAUUUCCUACUGAGAUAUUGACAUAUAAUGAGUUUUGUGAAAUUAUUGAUAUUGUCUGAUUUGUUUUUUGACAUUUAUUAUUGGUAUCUGCUGUUAUACUCAGUAUUGUACAAACCUCUUCUUUAUGUUUUAAUAUUUUCUUUAAAUGUGCUAAUUUAUUUAAUUUGCCAUUUUAAUUUGUAUUUUUAAGAAUGCUGGACAAAACUGUUUGUAAUACAUUUUGCAACUAAGAUGGGUACUGCAUUCUUUAUUACGUAUUAUACUUUGUUAUUCAUCAUUUCAGUGCGAUUUUCAUUAUUCAUAAUAUUUAUUGUCUGAUGCACUAGCUAUAUUCAUAUGUAUCUGUUUACGAUGUGUACACUUCCAGGUGUGAUUAAUAUGCUUAAAACCAGAAAAUGUAAAAAAAAAAAUUUUUUAUACAACUCAAUUUUGUUUUUGUAUUUAGUGGAGUUAAUGAGUGCUUCUAUCCAUAACAAAAAAAAUAUCCUUUUAUAAGCAAAAUUAACUUGCUGCCUUAUCUAACAAGAUGUGGCAUAGAACAG